Molecule: transfer RNA, 74 nt
Filed under: Danionella cerebrum
Lineage: Eukaryota; Metazoa; Chordata; Actinopteri; Cypriniformes; Danionidae
Description: tRNA-Asn
Source: RNAcentral
GUCUCUGUGGUGCAACCGGCUAGCGCAUUCGGCUAUUACCUGAAAGGUUGGUGGUUCAAGCCCACCCAGGGAUG